RNAcentral lists this microRNA precursor (110 nucleotides) under Glycine max (soybean). Its description in RNAcentral is "miR162b stem-loop (gma-MIR162b)". Its record names the gene gma-MIR162b. It matches the Rfam family "MIR162_1 microRNA precursor family". The record is from miRBase by way of RNAcentral. Lineage: Eukaryota; Viridiplantae; Streptophyta; Magnoliopsida; Fabales; Fabaceae.
UGAGGUGAAGUCACUGGAGGCAGCGGUUCAUCGAUCUCUUCCUGAAUUUGGUUGUGGAAGAACACAAAGCAAGAAUCGGUCGAUAAACCUCUGCAUCCAGCGCUCACUUU